This 253-nucleotide ribosomal RNA is filed under the name uncultured bacterium. RNAcentral describes it as "partial 16S ribosomal RNA". It matches the Rfam family "Bacterial small subunit ribosomal RNA", at positions 524 to 776 of the family's 1533-position model. The record is from RNAcentral.
UACGUAGGGGGCAAGCGUUGUCCGGAAUCAUUGGGCGUAAAGCGCGUGUAGGCGGCUCGGUAAGUCCGCUCUGAAAGCCCGGGGCUCAACCCCGGGAGGCGGGUGGAUACUGCUGAGCUCGAGUCCGGAAGAGGAGUGUGGAAUUCCUGGUGUAGCGGUGAAAUGCGCAGAUAUCAGGAGGAACACCAAUGGCGAAGGCAGCACUCUGGGACGGUACUGACGCUGAGACGCGAAAGCUAGGGGAGCAAACGGG